GGUGAACGCUGGCGGUAGGCCUAACACAUGCAAGUCGAACGGCAGCACAGUAAGAGCUUGCUCUUACGGGUGGCGAGUGGCGGACGAGUGAGGAGUACAUCGGAAUCUUCUUUUUCGUGGAGGAUAACGGAGGGAAACUUACGCUAAUACCGCAUAUGAUCUACGGGUGAAAGCAGGGGAUCUUCGGACCUUGCGCGAUUGAAUGAGCCGAUGUCGGAUUAGCUAGUUGGCGGGGUAAAGGCCCACCAAGCCGAGGAUCCGUAGCUGGUCGGAGAGGAUGAUCGGCAACACUGGAACGGGGACACGGUCCAGACUCCUACGGGAGGCAGCAGAGGGGAAUAUUGGACAAUGGGGGCAAGCCUGAUCCAGCCAUACCGCGUGGGUGAAGAAGGCCUUCGGGUUGUAAAGCCCUUUUGUUGGGAAAGAAAAGCAUCAGGUUAAUACCCCGCUGUUCUGACGGUACCCAAAAAAUAAGCACCGGCUAACUUCGUG
RNAcentral lists this ribosomal RNA (492 nucleotides) under uncultured bacterium. RNAcentral describes it as "partial 16S ribosomal RNA". It matches the Rfam family "Bacterial small subunit ribosomal RNA", at positions 28 to 507 of the family's 1533-position model. The record is from RNAcentral.